GACGAACGCUGGCGGCGUGCUUAACACAUGCAAGUCGAACGGAAAGGCACUGCUUUCGUGGGGUGCUCGAGUGGCGAACGGGUGAGUAACACGAGAGUAACCUGCCCUUGACUUUGGGAUAACAUAAGGAAAGUGGAGCUAAUACAGGAUAGGAGAUCCUGCAGCAUGGAGGGGGUUGGAAAGUUUCGGCGGUUGGGGAUGGACGCGCGGGUUACCGGCUUGUUGGUGGGGUAGUGGCAUACCGAGGCUUUGACGGGUAGGCGGCCUGGGAGGGGGACCGGCCACAAUGGUACUACGGUACGGCGCAGACUGCAACGUUGGGCAACAGUGGGGAGUAUUGUACAGUGGGCGGGAGCCUGAUGCGACGGCGCCGCGGUUGUAAUGACGGCCUUCGGGGUGUAAACCGCAUUCGCCUAUGACGAAGCUUUAGUGACGGUAAUGGGUAAAGAAGCACCGGCUAACUACGUG
RNAcentral lists this ribosomal RNA (468 nucleotides) under uncultured bacterium. Its description in RNAcentral is "partial 16S ribosomal RNA". It matches the Rfam family "Bacterial small subunit ribosomal RNA", at positions 28 to 507 of the family's 1533-position model. The record is from RNAcentral.